GAUGAACGCUGGCGGCGUGCCUAAUACAUGCAAGUCGAGCGAACAGACGAGGAGCUUGCUCCUCUGACGUUAGCGGCGGACGGGUGAGUAACACGUGGAUAACCUACCUAUAAGACUGGGAUAACUUCGGGAAACCGGAGCUAAUACCGGAUAAUAUAUUGAACCGCAUGGUUCAAUAGUGAAAGACGGUUUUGCUGUCACUUAUAGAUGGAUCCGCGCCGCAUUAGCUAGCUGGUAAGGUAACGGCUUACCAAGGCAACGAUGCGUAGCCGACCUGAGAGGGUGAUCGGCCACACUGGAACUGAGACACGGUCCAGACUCCUACGGGAGGCAGCAGUAGGGAAUCUUCCGCAAUAGGCGAAAGCCUGACGGAGCAACGCCGCGUGAGUGAUGAAGGUCUUCGGAUCGUAAAACUCUGUUAUUAGGGAAGAACAAAUGUGUAAGUAACUAUGCACGUCUUGACGGUACCUAAUCAGAAAGCCACGGCUAACUACGUG
RNAcentral lists this ribosomal RNA (497 nucleotides) under uncultured bacterium. Its description in RNAcentral is "partial 16S ribosomal RNA". It matches the Rfam family "Bacterial small subunit ribosomal RNA", at positions 28 to 507 of the family's 1533-position model. The record is from RNAcentral.